ACGAACGCUGGCGGCGUGCUUAACACCUGCCAGUCGCACGGAAAGGCCCUGCUUGCAGGGUACUCGAGUGGCGAACGGGUGAGUAACACGUGGGUGAUCUGCCCUGCACUUCGGGAUAAGCCUGGGAAACUGGGUCUAAUACCGGAUAGGAGCCAUUUUUAGUGUGAUGGUUGGGAAGUUUUUUCGGUGUAGGAUGAGCUCGCGGCCUAUCAGCUUGUUGGUGGGGUAAUGGCCUACCAAGGCGGCGACGGGUAGCCGGCCUGAGAGGGUGGACGGCCACAUUGGGACUGAGAUACGGCCCAGACUCCUACGGGAGGCAGCAGUGGGGAAUAUUGCACAAUGGGCGCAAGCCUGAUGCAGCGACGCCGCGUGGGGGAUGACGGCCUUCGGGUUGUAAACUCCUUUCGCUAGGGACGAAGCUUUUUGUGACGGUACCUAGAUAAGAAGCACCGGCUAACUACGUG
RNAcentral lists this ribosomal RNA (464 nucleotides) under uncultured bacterium. RNAcentral describes it as "partial 16S ribosomal RNA". It matches the Rfam family "Bacterial small subunit ribosomal RNA", at positions 29 to 507 of the family's 1533-position model. The record is from RNAcentral.